CAAAGCCGGAUCCCCGGGCGAUGCCUGGCCAGAAGCUCCCCUGCGGCCUAUUCCAUGACAGUGAACUAAGAUCAACGAAGCUACAAAAACAUAGCAAUUUCAGCCAGAAUAAAAAUGUACUGCCCUCCUUUUUUGAUACACAGAAACGUCUAUGCCUACCUAAGAACUUAGCACUUACAAGGGCCUAUAUUAGUUUUGUGGGGUUGCCAUCACAAAGAACCACACCUGAGUAGCUUAAACAGCAGAGGUCUCUGGUCUCACAGCUCUGGAGGCCAGAAGUACCACAUCGAGGUGUCAGGAGGGCUGUGCUCCCUCGGAAGUCUCUAGGGCAGACCCUGUUCCAGGCCUCUGUCCAGCUUCCCGUGGUUUGCUGGUGAUUUGGGGUGUUGCUUGGCACACAGAUGCAUCAUCCCAGUCUCUGGAUGAGAUAUAGAGGCUCAGAGAAGGAAUAUUAACCCAGCACCAAAGUCUCCUAGCUCUUCUGGGGCCAGGCCCGGGAAAGAGGUGAGAAUGGACAGUUGGCAGUGACUGCUGGCCCCAGUGACUCUUAUUUUCUUAGCCCCGAAUCACAUGUGUCAUCUGACCCACCGUUCCAGCACGUGUGGAACAUCCUGGACUCUUGGAUCUACUGCUGCAUCUUCUAGAGAGUGAGGUGUUCAGUUGCCCUCCUGAGAGCAGCGCCUCCCUCCCCACCCCGCUCAGCAGCCUGGCAUGAAGGCAGGGAAUGUGUACUGUACCCCCGGUGCCAGACGUGGGAGGCACCCAGAGUUGUGGAAUGAAUGAAUACAUUCACAGGCCCACAGGAGGAGUUCAAGAGCUCAAGUUGAGUUGAACAAGGACAUAACAUAAGCCCCCUGAACUGCUGCUAAUUCUCCCAGCAGAAGGAGAUGACUGUCGGAAACUAGGAGGUGCUUGGUGAUAAUGGAAUAAAGGUUUUCUCUCUGCAGGGCUGUCUGGACCACACAGGGGUCACACUUCGAUCUGAUCAUAACAUAGCUCCACCUGGACAAGCUGUUUCUCCCAACCCUCUUUCCAGCUUGAAUCACAUCAUUCCCUUUAAGAAUUUCCAUUCAUUUUAGUUUCCUGCUAAUUGACAUCUUCACUACAUAAAAUACUGGUAUAAAAAUACUGCGUACCAAGAUUUGAUACAACUAGCAAAUGUUCAUUGGUUUACAACAAACCCAAAAUACUCAUCAAAUAUGGGCUGUUGGAUUUAGAAAAAUAAGAUUCUUGAGCGAUUCCAGCUGCGUUCUUUGGGUAUGCAGCCUUCUAUCUGGAUCUCUGCAGGCCAGCCA
RNAcentral lists this long non-coding RNA (1295 nucleotides) under Homo sapiens (human). Its description in RNAcentral is "HSALNT0404299". Lineage: Eukaryota; Metazoa; Chordata; Mammalia; Primates; Hominidae. The record is from RNAcentral.